This 587-nucleotide ribosomal RNA is filed under the name Tolypocladium inflatum. Its description in RNAcentral is "eukaryotic LSU rRNA". It matches the Rfam family "Eukaryotic large subunit ribosomal RNA", at positions 38 to 650 of the family's 3401-position model. The record is from RNAcentral. Lineage: Eukaryota; Fungi; Ascomycota; Sordariomycetes; Hypocreales; Ophiocordycipitaceae.
GCAUAUCAAUAAGCGGAGGAAAAGAAACCAACAGGGAUUGCCCCAGUAACGGCGAGUGAAGCGGCAACAGCUCAAAUUUGAAAUCUGGCCCCCAGGGCCCGAGUUGUAAUUUGCAGAGGAUGCUUUUGGCGCGGCGCCUUCCGAGUUCCCUGGAACGGGACGCCAUAGAGGGUGAGAGCCCCGUCUGGUCGGACGCCAAGCCAGUGUAAAGCUCCUUCGACGAGUCGAGUAGUUUGGGAAUGCUGCUCUAAAUGGGAGGUAUAUGUCUUCUAAAGCUAAAUAUAGGCCAGAGACCGAUAGCGCACAAGUAGAGUGAUCGAAAGAUGAAAAGCACUUUGAAAAGAGGGUUAAACAGUACGUGAAAUUGUUGAAAGGGAAGCACUUGUGACCAGACUUGGGCCCGGUGAAUCAUCCAGCGUUCUCGCUGGUGCACUUCGCCGGGCCCAGGCCAGCAUCAGUUCGCCGCGGGGGAUAAAAGCUUCGGGAACGUAGCUCCCUCGGGAGUGUUAUAGCCCGUUGCAUAAUACCCUGCGGUGGACUGAGGUUCGCGCUCCGCAAGGAUGCUGGCGUAAUGUCACCAGUGUGGG